AAGGAAGAAUAAAAGAAAAGGAAAAAAAUAUAUUACAUUUGCUUCGGCUGAUUUUUUUAAGGAGAAAAAAUUGGAUUGAUAUGAAAAAUCUUAAAAGUAUUUUACAGAUGUUCGUCUCUUCGAAAUAUGUGAUCUAGGGUUUAUCUCUUCAAGUCUUCAGGGAAAACUGAAAUUUAUAAUGUUUUUGAUCUAAAAACAAUGUAGCAGCAAUGGUUCUGAAUGCUAAAAGGCCCUAAUUGGAUGAAGCCGGACAAUGCACGAAACAAGGAAAACUGAAAUUUGUACUGUUUUUUAUCUCAAAACAAUGUAGCAGCAAUGGUUCUGAAUGCGAAAAGGCCCUACUUGGAUGAAGCUGGACAAUGCAUGAAACAAGUGAGUGUAAUUUUUGUUGCCGGAAGAUUAUAUGGCUGAAAUGAUGACUGAAAGUUUUCUGUUGCGUUUUUUACAUGUAAUUUCUUGGGAGUUUAAGUGGCUUUCAUAGUUAGGAGUUUCUUCAGAUUUAGUACACUUAUGAAUUGCUCUUGAUGAUAUGAAGGGUUGACUUUGAAUUGAAAGCAAGUUAUAAAUAAUCACAAGCAUUGAUUGGGUUA
Mangifera indica (mango) is the source of this 590-nucleotide long non-coding RNA. RefSeq lists it as uncharacterized. NCBI's taxonomy places the organism in Eukaryota, Viridiplantae, Streptophyta, Magnoliopsida, Sapindales, Anacardiaceae. The record is from RefSeq and is a predicted model, not a curated record. The transcript has 3 exons.